UAGGGAAUCUUCCACAAUGGGCGCAAGCCUGAUGGAGCAACACCGCGUGGGUGAAGAAGGGUUUCGGCUCGUAAAGCUCUGUUGUUAAAGAAGAACACGUAUGAGAGUAACUGUUCAUACGUUGACGGUAUUUAACCAGAAAGUCACGGCUAACUACGUGCCA
This 163-nucleotide ribosomal RNA is filed under the name uncultured bacterium. RNAcentral's name for it is "partial 16S rRNA". It matches the Rfam family "Bacterial small subunit ribosomal RNA", at positions 355 to 510 of the family's 1533-position model. The record is from RNAcentral.